Molecule: ribosomal RNA, 774 nt
Filed under: uncultured Neocallimastigales
Lineage: Eukaryota; Fungi; Neocallimastigomycota; Neocallimastigomycetes; Neocallimastigales
Description: partial large subunit ribosomal RNA
Rfam family: Eukaryotic large subunit ribosomal RNA
Source: RNAcentral
UAUGUGAUCGUCUCUCGCAUAUCAAUAAGCGGAGGAAAAGAAACUAACAAGGAUUCCCCUAGUAACGGCGAGUGAAGCGGGAAGAGCUCAAAUUUGAAAUCUUAAAGGGUUUCCCUUUACGAAUUGUAGUUUAAAGAAGUGUUUUCUGUUGAGGUUUUGGUAAAAGUUCUUUGGAAUAGGACAUCAUAGAGGGUGAGAAUCCCGUAUUUGACCUUUACUUUCAACUUUGUGAUAUACUUUCAAAGAGUCGGAUUGUUUGGGAAUGCAGUCCAAAAUGGGUGGUAAAUUUCAUCUAAAGCUAAAUAUUGGCGAGAGACCGAUAGCGAACAAGUACCGUGAGGGAAAGAUGAAAAGAACUUUGAAAAGAGAGUUAAACAGUACGUGAAAUUGUCAAAAGGGAAGCGUUUGACACCAGUGUUGUUUUUCUGAAAAUCAAUUAAAGAACUGUUUAUGCUAAGUUGUUUAGACUUUAUCAGCUAACUGUUUAGUUUUGAGCUUUUCUUUAAUGCACUUUUCAGUUAACAAGUCAACAUCAAUUUCUUUUGCUGUAAAAAAGCUUGAGGAAGGUGGCUUGAGAUUCGUCUUAAGUGUUUAUAGCCUCUUGCCUAUGCAGUCGGAGAGAUUGAGGUCUGCAGCGUAGAUCCUUCGGGGCUAAAUGCAUUUGUGCUAAGUUAUAGCAUUUUAUAGACAACUUGUUGACUAUGAUUUGUCUUGUAGCUUACUCGCUUAUGUUAUUUUACCUACGCUUAGGAUGUUGACACACGCGCGUGCUCG